GAUGAACGCUGGCGGCGUGCCUUAUGCAUGCAAGUCGAACGGUCCAGCUUGCUGGACAGUGGCGAACGGGUGAGUAACACGUAGGUACCUGGCUUUGGGUGGGGAAUAGCCACGAGAAAUCGUGGGUAAUACCGCAUGAUGCUACUUGAGUAAUAUUAAGUAAUGAAAGCCUCGCAAGAGGCGCCUGUUGGGGGGCCUGCGUCCGAUUAGCUAGUUGGCAGGGUAAAAGCCUACCAAGGCGAAGAUCGGUAGCUGGUCUGAGAGGAUGAUCAGCCACACUGGGACUGAGAAACGGCCCAGACUCCUACGGGAGGCUG
Molecule: ribosomal RNA, 317 nt
Filed under: uncultured Chloroflexota bacterium
Lineage: Bacteria; Bacillati; Chloroflexota
Description: bacterial SSU rRNA
Rfam family: Bacterial small subunit ribosomal RNA
Source: RNAcentral